UACACGCUGUGACUAGCAUAUCAAUAAGCGGAGGAAAAGAAACUAACAAGGAUUCCCCUAGUAACGGCGAGUGAAGCGGGAAGAGCAUCAAAUUUGAAAUCUUAAAGGGUUUCCCUUUACGAAUUGUAGUUUAAAGAAGUGUUCUCUGUUGAGGUUUUGGUAAAAGCUCUUUGGAAUAGGACAUCAUAGAGGGUGAGAAUCCCGUAUUUGACCUUUACUUUCAACUUUGUGAUACACCUUCAAAGAGUCAGGAUUGUUUGGGAAUGCAGUCCAAAAUGGGUGGUAAAUUUCAUCUAAAGCUAAAUAUUGGCGAGAGACCGAUAGCGAACAAGUACCGUGAGGGAAAGAUGAAAAGAACUUUGAAAAGAGAGUUAAACAGUACGUGAAAUUGUCAAAAGGGAAGCGUUUGACACCAGUGUUGUUUUUCUGAAAAUCAAUUAAAGAACUGUUUAUGCUAAGCUGUUUAGACUUUAUCAGCUAUCUGUUUAGUUUUGAGCUUUUCUUUAAUGCACCUUUCAGUUAACAAGUCAACAUCAAUUUCUUUUGCUGUAAAAAAGCUUGAGGAAGGUGGCUUGAGAUUCGUCUUAAGUGUUUAUAGCCUCUUGCCUAUGCAGUCGGAGAGAUUGAGGUCUGCAGCGUAGAUCCUUCGGGGCUAAAUGCAUUUGUGCUAAGUUAUAGCAUUUUAUAGACAACUUGUUGACUAUGAUUUGUCUUGUAGCUUACUCGCUUAUGUUAUUUUACCUACGCUUAGGAUGUUGAGUCGUAGAGCACGCAG
RNAcentral lists this ribosomal RNA (775 nucleotides) under uncultured Neocallimastigales. RNAcentral's name for it is "partial large subunit ribosomal RNA". It matches the Rfam family "Eukaryotic large subunit ribosomal RNA", at positions 22 to 628 of the family's 3401-position model. The record is from RNAcentral. Lineage: Eukaryota; Fungi; Neocallimastigomycota; Neocallimastigomycetes; Neocallimastigales.